AUCUGGUCAGAACGAACGCUGGCGGCGCGUUUAAGCAUGCAAGUCGAGCGGCAAGGGCCUUCGGGCCCCUAGAGCGGCGGACGGGUGAGUAACACGUGGACAAUCUGCCCCCCGGCCCGGGAUAGCCCAGGGAAACCUGGAUUAAUACCGGAUGAGACGGGACCCGCGAUGGCGGGACCCGGGAAAGGCGCUGCGGCGCCGCCGGGGGAUGAGUCUGCGUCCCAUUAGCUAGACGGCGGGGUAACGGCCCACCGUGGCGACGAUGGGUAGCCGGCCUGAGAGGGUGGACGGCCACAUUGGAACUGAGACACGGUCCAGACUCCUACGGGAGGCAGCAGCUAAGAAUCUUCCGCAAUGGGCGAAAGCCUGACGGAAGCGACGCCGCGUGAACGAAGAAGGCCGUGAGGUUGUAAAGUUCUUUUCGGGAGGGGGAACAACCGUGGCAGGGAAUGGCCGCGGGAUGACGUGAAUCCCGGAAUAAGCCCCGGCUAACUACGUGCCAGCCGCGGC
This 510-nucleotide ribosomal RNA is filed under the name uncultured bacterium. RNAcentral's name for it is "bacterial SSU rRNA". It matches the Rfam family "Bacterial small subunit ribosomal RNA", at positions 18 to 518 of the family's 1533-position model. The record is from RNAcentral.